UCCACGCCCUAAACGAUGUAUGCUUGGUGUUGGGAAGCAAUUCUCAGUGCCGGAGGUAACCCGUUAAGCAUACCACCUGGGGAGUACGAUCGCAAGGUUGAAACUCAAAGGAAUUGACGGGGGCCCGCACAAGGCGGUGGAUCAUGUGGUUUAAUUCGAUGCAACGCGAAGAACCUUACCUGGGCUUGAAGUGUAGCGGACAGUAUCUGAAAGGAUACC
RNAcentral lists this ribosomal RNA (219 nucleotides) under uncultured bacterium. RNAcentral describes it as "partial 16S ribosomal RNA". It matches the Rfam family "Bacterial small subunit ribosomal RNA", at positions 794 to 1013 of the family's 1533-position model. The record is from RNAcentral.